This 69-nucleotide transfer RNA is filed under the name Uloma sp. BMNH 1425257. Its description in RNAcentral is "tRNA-Val". Lineage: Eukaryota; Metazoa; Arthropoda; Insecta; Coleoptera; Tenebrionidae. The record is from RNAcentral.
CAGAUUAGAGCUUGGUAAAAGCACUUUAUUUACAUUGAAGGGUUAAUUGUGAAAUUCAAUUUAAUUUGA